This 253-nucleotide ribosomal RNA is filed under the name uncultured bacterium. RNAcentral's name for it is "partial 16S ribosomal RNA". It matches the Rfam family "Bacterial small subunit ribosomal RNA", at positions 524 to 776 of the family's 1533-position model. The record is from RNAcentral.
UACGUAGGGGGCAAGCGUUGUCCGGAUUUAUUGGGCGUAAAGCGCACGCAGGCGGUCUGUUCAGUUUGGAGUGACAGUUCCUGGCUCAACUGGGAAAGUGCUUCGAAUACUGGCGGACUUGAGGGCUUCAGAGGGACACGGAAUUCCGGGUGGAGUGGUGAAAUGCGUAGAGAUCCGGAGGAACACCAAAGGCGAAGGCAGCGUCCUGGGGAGUACCUGACGCUCAGGUGCGAAAGCCAGGGGAGCGAACGGG